RNAcentral lists this ribosomal RNA (253 nucleotides) under uncultured bacterium. Its description in RNAcentral is "partial 16S ribosomal RNA". It matches the Rfam family "Bacterial small subunit ribosomal RNA", at positions 524 to 776 of the family's 1533-position model. The record is from RNAcentral.
UACGUAGGGGGCAAGCGUUGUCCGGAUUUACUGGGCGUAAAGAGCGUGUAGGCGGCUAAACAGGUCCGUUGUGAAAACUGGAGGCUCAACCUCCAGACGUCGACGGAAACCGUAUGGCUAGAGUCCGGAAGAGGAGAGUGGAAUUCCUGGUGUAGCGGUGAAAUGCGCAGAUAUCAGGAAGAACACCAAUGGCGAAGGCAGCUCUCUGGGACGGUACUGACGCUGAGACGCGAAAGCGUGGGGAGCGAACAGG